RNAcentral lists this ribosomal RNA (471 nucleotides) under uncultured bacterium. RNAcentral describes it as "bacterial SSU rRNA". It matches the Rfam family "Bacterial small subunit ribosomal RNA", at positions 335 to 803 of the family's 1533-position model. The record is from RNAcentral.
ACUCCUACGGGAGGCAGCAGUGGGGAAUAUUGCACAAUGGGCGCAAGCCUGAUGCAGCCAUGCCGCGUGUGUGAAGAAGGCCUUCGGGUUGUAAAGCACUUUCAGUCGUGAGGAAGGUAGUGUAGUUAAUAGCUGCAUUAUUUGACGUUAGCGACAGAAGAAGCACCGGCUAACUCCGUGCCAGCAGCCGCGGUAAUACGGAGGGUGCGAGCGUUAAUCGGAAUUACUGGGCGUAAAGCGCAUGCAGGUGGUUUGUUAAGUCAGAUGUGAAAGCCCGGGGCUCAACCUCGGAAUUGCAUUUGAAACUGGCAGACUAGAGUACUGUAGAGGGGGUAGAAUUUCAGGUGUAGCGGUGAAAUGCGUAGAGAUCUGAAGGAAUACCGGUGGCGAAGGCGGCCCCUGGACAGAUACUGACACUCAGAUGCGAAAGCGUGGGAGCAAACAGGAUUAGAUACCCCUGGUAGCGACUGA